Molecule: long non-coding RNA, 1430 nt
Organism: Passer domesticus (house sparrow)
Lineage: Eukaryota; Metazoa; Chordata; Aves; Passeriformes; Passeridae
Exons: 3
Source: RefSeq, a predicted model, not a curated record
GAGUUGGAAGCUCUGAAUAUAAUGUCCUGAGACUAAACUCUGAUGUUUUUUGAAAGUGUGUUUAUGUAAAUGCCAGGGAGAGGAACAGAGAUUAAAACUGCUGAGAUUAUGCCUGAAGCAAGAGCAAACAGACGGAUUUCAUUUUUAGGACACUGAAGAAAUGCAAAGUGGCCAUCUGCCAAAGGUUCCUGUGAGCUCUCAAACAGUACUGUGAGGUAAAACAAUCUUGUAAUUUAACCAGAGGGUGAGUAAUGCUGCUUCUGGCAGCUGCACAGGGGCUGGAAAUAUUUGCACAGCCUACACCUAUGGAUCUUCUCAGGAUCCUGUUGGCAGUGCUGCUGUGGAAAGGUCAGGUCCUGGUAGCUGGGCAGGGACCCAACUGUUGUGUUCUGGGGCUUCAGGAUCAAUGUUGUUCUGCUGUUGACAGAGAUUCCUCACCUGAGCAACACCCAACAGAAGCACCUGGAACCAUCCCAGGACCUUAGACUGGUACAGAGAUAUUGGCUGUGUCCUCCACAUCCAGAUCCCACAGGGACCAACAGGAACUAUUUUUUUGGCUCACAGAGCAAAAAAGCCAGCUUAUUUUUACCCAUAGUUAUGGCAGCUGCCUCUGAGUGUCCAUGAGUGCUCACCAGUAAGGAUGAAUCCCAGUUGGGGAUUCACAGCUGGCCUGAGAGCAUCUUUCUGCCCCCAGCACCUUGUUAAAAUGCAAAUCUCUUCCAGGUAAGUGAGAGGGACCGUGGUGUCACAGUGUGCAGUGGUGUCUUCGUUUGCCUGUGGGCUGAAGCAAGAAGCUUUUCCCAGGACUGUGGCUGCUUCUUCUGGAACUGCUCAGCUUUGCUUUGGUCCAGAACACCAGACCAUCAUUGGGAGCCCCACGCUGCAUCCCAGCUCUGGACCUUGGGAGAAGCCCAGCAGGACUCCAAAAGUCCACCAGUUUUCUCCACAAUGAGAAGGUUUAUUAUCUAACAUUAGUCUUUUUUUUUUCUUUCUUUCUUUUCUGUGUGCACUCUGCUUAUUAAAUAAUCGGGUUUUUUUUUUUUACUUUCCUCCAAGAAAUGAUUUUCAAACUGUUGGGGAGAGGCUGCCAAAACCUACCUUUCUUUAGAGGAGACACUCUUUCAGGAAGUUUCCUCCUAAUUUGUCUCAAAACCAAGACACUUCUCUUCACAAUGCCCCAGACCCUUUGUGUGCUUGCCUUUUGUCUCACACUGCUUUGGAAAGCUGCUGAAAGGGGAAAUGAGCUCAGUGCCCUGAACCAGCCAGCUCUGCUCCAUCCUUGCCUGGUCCUGUGUGCCCAAACCUGCCCCAAGACUGCCCUGCAGCCAGCUGGGGGCUGUGGCAGCUGAGGACACUGCACAGGGCCCUGGGGGAGAUGCUGCCCUCAGGAAAGGCAUCAAGCCCCACUCUCCCCUCUCACUCCCUGCACA